This 253-nucleotide ribosomal RNA is filed under the name uncultured bacterium. RNAcentral describes it as "partial 16S ribosomal RNA". It matches the Rfam family "Bacterial small subunit ribosomal RNA", at positions 524 to 776 of the family's 1533-position model. The record is from RNAcentral.
UACAGAGGUGGCAAGCGUUGUUCGGAAUUACUGGGCGUAAAGGGCGCGUAGGCGGCCAUCUAAGUCAGACGUGAAAUCCCCCGGCUUAACCUGGGAACUGCGUCUGAUACUGGAAGGCUUGAGUAUGGGAGAGGGAUGUAGAAUUCCAGGUGUAGCAGUGAAAUGCGUAGAGAUGCGGAGGAACACCGAUGGCGAAGGCAGCCCCCUGGGAUGACACUGACACUCAUGCACGAAAGCGUGGGGAGCAAACAGG